GAUGAACGCUGGCGGCGUGCCUAAUACAUGCAAGUCGAGCGAACGGACGAGAAGCUUGCUUCUCUGAUGUUAGCGGCGGACGGGUGAGUAACACGUGGAUAACCUACCUAUAAGACUGGGAUAACUUCGGGAAACCGGAGCUAAUACCGGAUGAUAUUUUGAACCGCAUGGUUCAAAAGUGAAAGACGGUCUUGCUGUCACUUAUAGAUGGAUCCGCGCUGCAUUAGCUAGUUGGUAAGGUAACGGCUUACCAAGGCAACGAUGCAUAGCCGACCUGAGAGGGUGAUCGGCCACACUGGAACUGAGACACGGUACAGACUCCUAGGGGAGGCAGCAGUAGGGAAUCUGCCGGAAUGGGCGAAAGCCUGACGGAGCAACGCCGCGUGAGUGAUGAAGGUCUUCGGAUCGUAAAACUAUGUUAUUAGGGAAGAACAUAUGUGUAAGUAACUGUGCACAUCUUGACGGUACCUAAUCAGAAAGCCACGGCUAACUACGUG
This 497-nucleotide ribosomal RNA is filed under the name uncultured bacterium. Its description in RNAcentral is "partial 16S ribosomal RNA". It matches the Rfam family "Bacterial small subunit ribosomal RNA", at positions 28 to 507 of the family's 1533-position model. The record is from RNAcentral.